RNAcentral lists this ribosomal RNA (468 nucleotides) under Pseudomonas sp. CC5. Its description in RNAcentral is "bacterial SSU rRNA". It matches the Rfam family "Bacterial small subunit ribosomal RNA", at positions 37 to 499 of the family's 1533-position model. Lineage: Bacteria; Pseudomonadati; Pseudomonadota; Gammaproteobacteria; Pseudomonadales; Pseudomonadaceae. The record is from RNAcentral.
UGGCNNCAGGCCUACACAUGNCAAGUGCGAGCGGGAUGAAGGGAGCUUGCUCCUGGAUUNCAGCGGCGGACGGGUGAGUAAUGCCUAGGAAUCUGCCCCAAUAGUGGGGGGAUAACGUUCCCGAAAGGAACGCUAAUACCGCAUACGUCCUACGGGAGAAAGCAGGGGACCUUCGGGCCUUGCGCUAUUGGAUGAGCCUAGGUCGGAUUAGCUAGUUGAUGAGGUAAAGGCUCACCAAGGCGACGAUCCGUACCUGGUCUGAGAGGAUGAUCAGCCACACUGGAACUGAGACACGGUCCAGACUCCUACGGGAGGCAGCAGUGGGGAAUAUUGGACAAUGGGCGAAAGCCUGAUCCAGCCAUGCCGCGUGUGUGAAGAAGGUCUUCGGAUUGUAAAGCACUUUAAGUUGGGAGGAAGGGUUUCUGGCUAAUAUCCAGAAUUUGACGUAACGNCAAANAGCCCGCACUN